This 89-nucleotide transfer RNA is filed under the name Staphylococcus aureus. RNAcentral's name for it is "tRNA-Ser". It matches the Rfam family "tRNA". From Rfam's summary of the family: Transfer RNA (tRNA) molecules are approximately 80 nucleotides in length. Their secondary structure includes four short double-helical elements and three loops (D, anti-codon, and T loops). Further hydrogen bonds mediate the characteristic L-shaped molecular structure. tRNAs have two regions of fundamental functional importance: the anti-codon, which is responsible for specific mRNA codon recognition, and the 3' end, to which the tRNAs corresponding amino acid is attached (by aminoacyl-tRNA synthetases). tRNAs cope with the degeneracy of the genetic code in two manners: having more than one tRNA (with a specific anti-codon) for a particular amino acid; and 'wobble' base-pairing, i.e. permitting non-standard base-pairing at the 3rd anti-codon position. Lineage: Bacteria; Bacillati; Bacillota; Bacilli; Caryophanales; Staphylococcaceae. The record is from RNAcentral.
GGAAGGUUGUCCGAGCUAGCCGAAGGAGCACGCCUGGAAAGUGUGUAGGCGUCACAAGCGUCUCAAGGGUUCGAAUCCCUUACCUUCCG